This 1419-nucleotide ribosomal RNA is filed under the name Klebsiella pneumoniae. RNAcentral describes it as "bacterial SSU rRNA". It matches the Rfam family "Bacterial small subunit ribosomal RNA". The record is from RNAcentral. Lineage: Bacteria; Pseudomonadati; Pseudomonadota; Gammaproteobacteria; Enterobacterales; Enterobacteriaceae.
UCGAGCGGUAGCACAGAGAGCUUGCUCUCGGGUGACGAGCGGCGGACGGGUGAGUAAUGUCUGGGAAACUGCCUGAUGGAGGGGGAUAACUACUGGAAACGGUAGCUAAUACCGCAUAACGUCGCAAGACCAAAGUGGGGGACCUUCGGGCCUCAUGCCAUCAGAUGUGCCCAGAUGGGAUUAGCUAGUAGGUGGGGUAACGGCUCACCUAGGCGACGAUCCCUAGCUGGUCUGAGAGGAUGACCAGCCACACUGGAACUGAGACACGGUCCAGACUCCUACGGGAGGCAGCAGUGGGGAAUAUUGCACAAUGGGCGCAAGCCUGAUGCAGCCAUGCCGCGUGUGUGAAGAAGGCCUUCGGGUUGUAAAGCACUUUCAGCNGGGGAGGAAGGCGUUGAGGUUAAUAACCUUGGCGAUUGACGUUACCCGCAGAAGAAGCACCGGCUAACUCCGUGCCAGCAGCCGCGGUAAUACGGAGGGUGCAAGCGUUAAUCGGAAUUACUGGGCGUAAAGCGCACGCAGGCGGUCUGUCAAGUCGGAUGUGAAAUCCCCGGGCUCAACCUGGGAACUGCAUUCGAAACUGGCAGGCUAGAGUCUUGUAGAGGGGGGUAGAAUUCCAGGUGUAGCGGUGAAAUGCGUAGAGAUCUGGAGGAAUACCGGUGGCGAAGGCGGCCCCCUGGACAAAGACUGACGCUCAGGUGCGAAAGCGUGGGGAGCAAACAGGAUUAGAUACCCUGGUAGUCCACGCCGUAAACGAUGUCGAUUUGGAGGUUGUGCCCUUGAGGCGUGGCUUCCGGAGCUAACGCGUUAAAUCGACCGCCUGGGGAGUACGGCCGCAAGGUUAAAACUCAAAUGAAUUGACGGGGGCCCGCACAAGCGGUGGAGCAUGUGGUUUAAUUCGAUGCAACGCGAAGAACCUUACCUGGUCUUGACAUCCACAGAACUUUCCAGAGAUGGAUUGGUGCCUUCGGGAACUGUGAGACAGGUGCUGCAUGGCUGUCGUCAGCUCGUGUUGUGAAAUGUUGGGUUAAGUCCCGCAACGAGCGCAACCCUUAUCCUUUGUUGCCAGCGGUUAGGCCGGGAACUCAAAGGAGACUGCCAGUGAUAAACUGGAGGAAGGUGGGGAUGACGUCAAGUCAUCAUGGCCCUUACGACCAGGGCUACACACGUGCUACAAUGGCAUAUACAAAGAGAAGCGACCUCGCGAGAGCAAGCGGACCUCAUAAAGUAUGUCGUAGUCCGGAUUGGAGUCUGCAACUCGACUCCAUGAAGUCGGAAUCGCUAGUAAUCGUAGAUCAGAAUGCUACGGUGAAUACGUUCCCGGGCCUUGUACACACCGCCCGUCACACCAUGGGAGUGGGUUGCAAAAGAAGUAGGUAGCUUAACCUUCGGNGAGGGCGCUUACCACUUUGUGAUUCA